This 485-nucleotide ribosomal RNA is filed under the name uncultured bacterium. Its description in RNAcentral is "partial 16S ribosomal RNA". It matches the Rfam family "Bacterial small subunit ribosomal RNA", at positions 30 to 507 of the family's 1533-position model. The record is from RNAcentral.
AUUGAACGCUGGCGGCAGGCUUAACACAUGCAAGUCGAGCGGGGGAAGGUAGCUUGCUACCGGACCUAGCGGCGGACGGGUGAGUAAUGCUUAGGAAUCUGCCUAUUAGUGGGGGACAACAUCUCGAAAGGGAUGCUAAUACCGCAUACGUCCUACGGGAGAAAGCAGGGGAUCUUCGGACCUUGCGCUAAUAGAUGAGCCUAAGUCGGAUUAGCUAGUUGGUGGGGUAAAGGCCUACCAAGGCGACGAUCUGUAGCGGGUCUGAGAGGAUGAUCCGCCACACUGGGACUGAGACACGGCCCAGACUCCUACGGGAGGCAGCAGUGGGGAAUAUUGGACAAUGGGGGGAACCCUGAUCCAGCCAUGCCGCGUGUGUGAAGAAGGCCCUAUGGUUGUAAAGCACUUUAAGCGAGGAGGAGGCUACUUUAGUUAAUACCGAGAGAUAGUGGACGUUACUCGCAGAAUAAGCACCGGCUAACUCUGUG